UGGACACCAGCCGUGUGCAGCCUAUCAAG
This 29-nucleotide non-coding RNA is filed under the name Homo sapiens (human). The record is from RNAcentral. Lineage: Eukaryota; Metazoa; Chordata; Mammalia; Primates; Hominidae.